This 26-nucleotide non-coding RNA is filed under the name Mus musculus (house mouse). Lineage: Eukaryota; Metazoa; Chordata; Mammalia; Rodentia; Muridae. The record is from RNAcentral.
UGAAAAUGUGACACUCCAUUCAGGGC